Molecule: ribosomal RNA, 492 nt
Filed under: uncultured bacterium
Lineage: Bacteria
Description: partial 16S ribosomal RNA
Rfam family: Bacterial small subunit ribosomal RNA
Source: RNAcentral
AGUGAACGCUGGCGGUAGGCCUAACACAUGCAAGUCGAACGGCAGCACAGUAAGAGCUUGCUCUUACGGGUGGCGAGUGGCGGACGAGUGAGGAAUACAUCGGAAUCUACUUUUUCGUGGGGGAUAACGUAGGGAAACUUACGCUAAUACCGCAUACGGCCUACGGGUGAAAGCAGGGGAUCUUCGGACCUUGCGCGAUUGAAUGAGCCGAUGUCGGAUUAGCUAGUUGGCGGGGUAAAGGCCCACCAAGGCGACGAUCCGUAGCUGGUCUGAGAGGAUGAUCAGCCACACUGGAACUGAGACACGGUCCAGACUCCUACGGGAGGCAGCAGUGGGGAAUAUUGGGCAAUGGGCGCAAGCCUGAUCCAGCCAUACCGCGUGGGUGAAGAAGGCCUUCGGGUUGUAAAGCCCUUUUGUUGGGAAAGAAAAGCAGCAGGUUAAUACCCCGCUGUUCUGACGGUACCCAAAGAAUAAGCACCGGCUAACUUCGUG